RNAcentral lists this ribosomal RNA (553 nucleotides) under uncultured Glomus. Its description in RNAcentral is "SSU rRNA". It matches the Rfam family "Eukaryotic small subunit ribosomal RNA", at positions 550 to 1114 of the family's 1831-position model. Lineage: Eukaryota; Fungi; Glomeromycota; Glomeromycetes; Glomerales; Glomeraceae. The record is from RNAcentral.
UUGGAGGGCAAGYCUGGUGCCAGCAGCCGCGGUAAUUCCAGCUCCAAUAGCGUAUAUUAAAGUUGUUGCAGUUAAAAAGCUCGUAGUUGAAUUUCGGGAUCAGAUUGUCGGUCGUGCCUCGGUACGCACUGGCAUUAUUGGUUCCUACCUUCUGAAGAACCGCGAUGUCAUUAAUUUGGUGUCGUGGGGAAUCAGGACUGUUACUUUGAAAAAAUUAGAGUGUUUAAAGCAGGCUCACGCUUGAAUACAUUAGCAUGGAAUAAUGAAAUAGGACAUCCGAUUCUAUUUUGUUGGUUUCUAGGAUCGAUGUAAUGAUUAAUAGGGAUAGUUGGGGGCAUUAGUAUUCAAUUGUCAGAGGUGAAAUUCUUGGAUUUAUUGAAGACUAACUACUGCGAAAGCAUUUGCCAAGGAUGUUUUCAUUAAUCAAGAACGAAAGUUAGGGGAUCGAAGACGAUCAGAUACCGUCGUAGUCUUAACCAUAAACUAUGCCGACUAGGGAUCGGAUGAUGUUAAUUUUUUAAUGACUCAUUCGGCACCUUACGGGAAACCAAAG